RNAcentral lists this ribosomal RNA (497 nucleotides) under uncultured bacterium. RNAcentral's name for it is "partial 16S ribosomal RNA". It matches the Rfam family "Bacterial small subunit ribosomal RNA", at positions 28 to 507 of the family's 1533-position model. The record is from RNAcentral.
GAUGAACGCUGGCGGCGUGCCUAAUACAUGCAAGUCGAGCGAACAGACGAGGAGCUUGCUCCUCUGACGUUAGCGGCGGACGGGUGAGUAACACGUGGAUAACCUACCUAUAAGACUGGGAUAACUUCGGGAAACCGGAGCUAAUACCGGAUAACAUGUUGAACCGCAUGGUUCAACAGUGAAAGACGGUCUUGCUGUCACUUAUAGAUGGAUCCGCGCCGCAUUAGCUAGUUGGUAAGGUAACGGCUUACCAAGGCAACGAUGAGUAGCCGACCUGAGAGGGUGAUCGGCCACACUGGAACUGAGACACGGUCCAGACUCCUACGGGAGGCAGCAGUAGGGAAUCUUCCGCAAUGGGCGAAAGCCUGACGGAGCAACGCCGCGUGAGUGAAGAAGGUCUUCGGAUCGUAAAACUCUGUUAUUAGGGAAGAACAAAUGUGUAAGUAACUAUGCACGUCUUGACGGUACCUAAUCAGAAAGCCACGGCUAACUACGUG